Long non-coding RNA from Mastomys coucha (southern multimammate mouse), 729 nucleotides. RefSeq lists it as uncharacterized. The record is from RefSeq and is a predicted model, not a curated record. The transcript has 4 exons. NCBI's taxonomy places the organism in Eukaryota, Metazoa, Chordata, Mammalia, Rodentia, Muridae.
CCUCAAGAUUCCGUGCAUAGCUGAGGCAGCAGAAAGUCACAUGCAUUAGUUAGGACACAGGCUAAACUGCUGUCAUGAAGACACUGAGAAAUGCCACUGUUGAGAUGAGAUUGUUUAUUCCUCUGCGGGGAGCAUUUCCUGGCAGGCCUGCGGCACCUGGCAGAUUGCCCAGAGCUGGUGACAACUCCCUACCCCCAUACUGCCUGCCUGCGUGAGAGAUUGGCCACAGCUGGCGAUGACCCUCUCCACUACCGCUUGGAUGCAUGUAAAUCAUGUGCAGAUAGUUCUAGUUUUCAAGCAGGUUUGUCCACAGUAACCCAGGAACCUUGUUGUAAACGCAGACUGCAGGCUCCAUUCUCUGCAAAUCCAGGUUCCACCUGGAAAGCCAUGGAAAAGGCCUUCACCUAUAGAGCUGCUGUCUAAUCUCCCCUAGAAGGCGUCUCUGCGCUCCGAGCCACGGCCACCACCAAGCCAAGUUCAAGCCAACCCCGAGACCAGCCAGAACUCCCUUUUCCACCUCGACCCUAGGCCAGAUCUAGCCCACAGACAGUCCAAGCCUCGUCACAGGUCUGGGGACCCCUGAUCCAGCUCCAGUGGCCCCGCACCUCAGACCGCACUUCCUCACACCCCCAGAGUGGUGGCCUGGGGCUGCCUUAUGGCCCAACACCUGCCCAGUGACUGGUGUAAGGUAAGCAUGGUCAAUUUCCCACAUCCUGCCUCCCCAAGUAG